GAUGAACGCUGGCGGCGUGCCUAAUACAUGCAAGUCGAGCGAACGGACGAGAAGCUUGCUUUUCUGAUGUUAGCGGCGGACGGGUGAGUAACACGUGGAUACCCUACCUAUCAGACUGGGAUAACUUCGGGAAACCGGAGCUAAUACCGGAGAAUCUUUUGAACCGCAUGGUUCAAAAGUGAAAGACGGUCUUGGUGUCACUUAUAGCUGGAUCCGCGCUGCAUUAGCUAGUUGGUAAGGUAACGGCUUACCAAGGCAACGAUGCAUAGCCGACCUGAGAGGGGGAUCGGCCACCCUGGAACGUAGACACGGUCCAGAGUCCUACGAGAGGCAGCAGAAGGGAAUCUUCCGCAAUGGUCGAAAGCCUGACGGAGCAACGCCGCGUGAGUGAUGACGGUCUUCGGAUCGUAAAACUCUGUUACUAGGGAAAAACAUAUGUGUAAGUAACUGUGCACAUCUUGACGGUACCUAGUCAGAAAGCCACGGCUAACUACGUG
This 497-nucleotide ribosomal RNA is filed under the name uncultured bacterium. RNAcentral describes it as "partial 16S ribosomal RNA". It matches the Rfam family "Bacterial small subunit ribosomal RNA", at positions 28 to 507 of the family's 1533-position model. The record is from RNAcentral.